Molecule: ribosomal RNA, 550 nt
Filed under: uncultured Actinomycetes bacterium
Lineage: Bacteria; Bacillati; Actinomycetota; Actinomycetes
Description: bacterial SSU rRNA
Rfam family: Bacterial small subunit ribosomal RNA
Source: RNAcentral
CGGAGCAUGUUGCUUAAUUAGAGGCAACGCGAAGAACCUUACCUGGGUUUGACAUUUAGGAAAAAGCCACAAAAAUGUGGUGUCCUUCGGGGCCCUAAACAGGUGGUGCAUGGCUGUCGUCAGCUCGUGUCGUGAGAUGUUGGGUUAAGUCCCGCAACGAGCGCAACCCUUAUCCUAUGUUGCCAGCACGUAAUGGUGGGGACUCGUGGGAGACUGCCGGGGUCAACUCGGAGGAAGGUGGGGACGACGUCAAGUCAUCAUGCCCCUUAUGUCCAGGGCUGCAAACAUGCUACAAUGGCCGGUACAGAGGGCUGCGAGACCGCGAGGUUGAGCGAAUCCCACAAAGCCGGUCUCAGUUCGGAUUGGAGUCUGCAACUCGACUCCAUGAAGCCGGAGUCGCUAGUAAUCCCGGAUCAGCAACGCCGGGGUGAAUACGUUCCCGGGCCUUGUACACACCGCCCGUCACACCACGAAAGUCUGCAACACCCGAAGCCAGUGGCCCAACCCGCAAGGGAGGGAGCUGUCGAAGGUGGGGUCGGCGAUUGGGGUG